This 253-nucleotide ribosomal RNA is filed under the name uncultured bacterium. Its description in RNAcentral is "partial 16S ribosomal RNA". It matches the Rfam family "Bacterial small subunit ribosomal RNA", at positions 524 to 776 of the family's 1533-position model. The record is from RNAcentral.
GACAGAGGGUGCAAGCGUUGUUCGGAAUUAUUGGGCGUAAAGGGCGCGUAGGCGGCCUCGCAAGUCAGGUGUGAAAUCCCAGGGCUUAACCCUGGAACUGCAUCUGAUACUGCUUGGCUUGAAUCCCGGAGAGGGUGGUGGAAUUCCUGGUGUAGAGGUGAAAUUCGUAGAUAUCAGGAGGAACACCGGUGGCGAAGGCGACCACCUGGACGGAGAUUGACGCUGAGGCGCGAAAGCGUGGGGAGCAAACGGG